UUAUCUCAAGUAUAGUGUUGGAACGUUUGCCUAGGUUUGCCGCUAGGGGCGCUGUUCCAACUGCAUGCUUUGAGUUA
Molecule: microRNA precursor, 77 nt
Filed under: Bombyx mori (domestic silkworm)
Lineage: Eukaryota; Metazoa; Arthropoda; Insecta; Lepidoptera; Bombycidae
Description: mir-2807 microRNA precursor family
Rfam family: mir-2807 microRNA precursor family
Source: Rfam by way of RNAcentral